Molecule: long non-coding RNA, 334 nt
Filed under: Lathyrus oleraceus (garden pea)
Lineage: Eukaryota; Viridiplantae; Streptophyta; Magnoliopsida; Fabales; Fabaceae
Description: Pisum sativum (pea) long non-coding RNA (PSAT_LNC010789)
Source: RNAcentral
UUUGGGGUUGCUGUUGGAAUAACAACCUUUAAGUUUGGGGUAGUUGUGCAGUAGUACAAAAAGGUGAGUGCACCUGAAAAAAAGAAAAAAAUGAAAAAGAAGCCUAAAAAGAUCUUAAUGAAAGAAAAGAAAGAAUAAAUUUAUACACAUGAACACUCACCAAAAAAAGAACUCAAUUGAAAAAUUGAGAAGUCUAACCACUUAACCAAAGAAAGCCGUAUUUAAGGAAUUCAAGCAGUGAUACUUUGGAGUGAUCAAAGUGAAAAAAAUGAUGGAAAUACUUUGAACCCUUAUCCCAUUUAUCCAUAUAUUAUGCCACAUUAGCCCUAGCCCC